GAGUGAGACCAAUCUGACUAUAUCUGACACCCACUGAUUGUUAUGGUUAAUUCCACUUAUCUACUUGGUUCUUCAGAUAUCUCGAUCCUCCCUCAUCAUUGCAUAAUUGCCUCCUAAUAAAUCAUGAUUUUGGUCAAAUAGGGUGACUUUCCCAUUUAGAAAAGGACUAAGGACUCAAGUCAAGGGCAGGUGAAUGCAGUAGUUGUACUAUUUCACUGUAUCAUAUACGUGAAUAAUAG
This 239-nucleotide small nuclear RNA is filed under the name Choloepus hoffmanni (Hoffmann's two-fingered sloth). Its description in RNAcentral is "7SK RNA (ENSCHOG00000015973.1)". The stretch from base 1 to 196 matches the Rfam family "7SK RNA". Rfam says of the family: 7SK was discovered as an abundant small nuclear RNA in the mid-70s but a possible function has only recently been suggested. Two independent studies have found that 7SK RNA binds the CDK9/cyclin T complex (known as elongation factor P-TEFb). The record is from RNAcentral. Lineage: Eukaryota; Metazoa; Chordata; Mammalia; Pilosa; Megalonychidae.